GCCAUGUAUGCCAUAUUAAGGCGAAACCACCAAUAACUUAUUAAAUCAUUUAUGGUUUCUUGGAUCGUACGUUAUUACUAUUUGGGUAACUAUUUUAAUUCUAGUGCUAAUAUAUGCAGCAGAGUUCCGACCCUCUGGAGACGAGCUCUUUCUUAUAUAGACCAAAACAAAUCGGAUCUCGUGUCCAUAUUAUGUGACAACGCUGUAAAUUUUGGGCUCGUCUUGGCGACGUAUGUUUGAAGUGUCUGCAUUAUCAACUAUAGCUGGUAGGUUAUGCAUCUACCAUUGUAGUAACGGGUGACGGGGAAUUAGGGAAGAUUUUCUAUUAAG
RNAcentral lists this non-coding RNA (330 nucleotides) under Stegodyphus mimosarum. RNAcentral's name for it is "Eukaryotic small subunit ribosomal RNA". It matches the Rfam family "Eukaryotic small subunit ribosomal RNA", at positions 58 to 375 of the family's 1831-position model. Lineage: Eukaryota; Metazoa; Arthropoda; Arachnida; Araneae; Eresidae. The record is from Rfam by way of RNAcentral.